GGAUCUGGGGUUCCCAGGGAGGGACGGCGGUGGUGAAGGGUUCUGGGGUUCCCAGGGAGGACGGCGGGUGUUGAAGGGAUCUUGGCUUCUCAUGGAGGGACGGCGGCGGUGAAGGAUCUGGGGUUCUCAGGGAGGGACGGCGGUGGUGGUGAAGGGAUCUGGGGUUCUCAGGGAGGGACGGCGGUGGUGAAGGGAUCUGGGGUUCUCAGGGAGGGACGGCGGUGGUGAAGGGAUCUGGGGUUCCCAGGGAGGGACGGCGGUGGUGAAGGGUUCUCAGGGAGAGACGGCGGUGGUGAAGGGCUUCAGGGAGGGACGGCGGUGGUGAAGGGU
This is a long non-coding RNA of Salvelinus sp. IW2-2015, 330 nucleotides long. RefSeq lists it as uncharacterized. Lineage: Eukaryota; Metazoa; Chordata; Actinopteri; Salmoniformes; Salmonidae. The record is from RefSeq and is a predicted model, not a curated record.